This is a small nucleolar RNA of Pelodiscus sinensis (Chinese soft-shelled turtle), 216 nucleotides long. It matches the Rfam family "Small nucleolar RNA U3". Rfam says of the family: Small nucleolar RNAs (snoRNAs) are involved in the processing and modification of rRNA in the nucleolus. There are two main classes of snoRNAs: the box C/D class, and the box H/ACA class. U3 snoRNA is a member of the box C/D class. The record is from Rfam. Lineage: Eukaryota; Metazoa; Chordata; Testudines; Trionychidae.
UUGACUAUACUUUCAGGGAUCAUUUCUAUAGUCUGUAACUAGAGAAGGGCAGCUGGAAGUGGUAGGUCUCGCUAACCCCAAGGAGGAGUUAAAGUGUUCUCUUCUGAGUGGGAGGUGAGCAGACAACAUUGCUUUAAUGCAGCUGCUGUCUGUUAUUGAUGACUGUUCCUUCUUUCGUUUUGGGAAGUUGGAGGGAGAGAACACAGGCUGAGUGCU